AAAAAGGUGUUGAGGAAGCCACUUUUGUCUAUUUAGAUGCACACGCUGUGAGCUGUGCCUCCUCUCAUCCAUCCAUCCAUCCAUUAGCCACCCACACAGGCUAGCACUCGCUCCCUAAUGACAUCAGUGGUUCUCUCAGAGCGCAGCCACACCGUUAACAUGCUCGCUUUCACAGCCCCACGACUCCUCCAACAUCACCUCCAGCAACUCACAGCCAAACCACUGCAGUGAGGACUUAUUACGGCUCAAAUGGAGACAUUAAAGAAGAGAACAUUAUCAUUAGUAUGGUUUCCCCUUGGAUUUUGUGUUGUGUCUCUAUGAGUUCCCUCUUAAAGGAAUUAAUAUAGAAAGGGUUGCCUGAACUUGAGUGAGAAUUUGGAAUGGAUGAGGGAUACAAUUCAAAGCUACUUGAGUGUUAACUCUCAUAUCCACCAUGGAAUGUCCCGCCAUUGUAUCACACGGUGGUGCAAAAAGUACACAAUUGCCAUACUUGAUUUGCAGCCAAGAUACCGUAAUAAAAAAUGAUUCAAGUAAAAGUGAAAGUCACCCAGUAAAGUAUUACUUGAGUAAAAGUCUAAAAGUAUUUGGUUUUAAAUAUACUUAAGUAUCAACCUUUUGUGUAAUCGCUAAAAGUACAAAUCUUGUCAAAUUCCUUAUAUUAAGCAAACUAGACAGCACCAUUUUUUUAAAAUAAUGGAUAGCAGGGGCACACUCCAACACUCAGACAUAAUUUACAAACAAAGCAUUUGUGUUCAGUGAAUCUGCUAUCAGAGGCAGUAUGGAUGACCAGGGAUGUUCUCUUUUUACACCAUACAUUUUCCCUCCCACUCAUUACAUUUUGUCAGGAAAAUGGUUGAAUUGGUCAAGUACUUUUGGGUGGGAGGAAAAAUGUAUGGAGUAAAAAGUACAUUAUUUUCUUUAGGAAUGUAGUGAAGUAAAAGUAAAAAUAUAAAUAGUAAAGUACAGACACCCAGUACAUAAGUACUUUACACCACUGGUGUCACAGUGAAAGCCUUUACAUAACAACAAGUAGAUUGUCAUCCUUGGGUUUCUUGGUUAGUGGUUAUGGUUAGCCCUCAAUGGUUAGCCCUCCAUCUCCCACCAAUAUUUGACUACACAUCACUUUUGUGAUCAUCUUUCUCUCUGCAGAAGAAACAUUCAAAUAAUUAAAGAAAAACCAAAACAGUAGUUCUUUCUCCAAACUGUGUUUUAGUUGUUCUUUCUCCAGGUGGUGUUUUGCUGCAUUUGAGAGACAGCGUGAGUAAAUGAAAGCAAAAGGGCAGAACAGAACCAGUGUAAAAUGAAUACAACACACCACGCCUGUGGUGUUGUGGCCUUUUUCUUUCAUUUGUCAGCAGUGUCUGUGUACUUGUCUCAUCAGUGGGCCUGUCUGGGCAGCACAGGCUGGGGGUUCAGUCCUGAUAGAGAGAGGUAGUGCUGUUAAGGCAGAGCCUCUGUGAAACAAGAGCUCUCACCCCCAUAAUGCACCUUUAAAACAGCCUGGUACCCUG
RNAcentral lists this long non-coding RNA (1511 nucleotides) under Salmo salar (Atlantic salmon). Its description in RNAcentral is "lncRNA (ENSSSAG00000094441.1)". Lineage: Eukaryota; Metazoa; Chordata; Actinopteri; Salmoniformes; Salmonidae. The record is from RNAcentral.